GGGACUCGCCCAAUACCAAAGGCAACUCUUGUGAUUCACGAGACUCUCAACAAAACAAAAGGCAAAGGCAAAAGCAAAUCCACAAACCUAAAACCCCAGCUUCACGAGAAUCAUCACAAGAAGAUUAAUGGAGACAGCUGAAAGUACAAGCUCGAUGAAGCAGCAGCAGCAAGUGCUGGACGGUUCAAAUAUAAUGAAGUUGGUUGGAAAUGAGGAGGUGUUUAGCAGCUUUGUUGAUCAUAAGUUCCAAGAACUUGACAGAGACAGAGAUGGUCAGCUCUCUGUGAAGGAGCUUCAGCCUGCUGUUGCUGAUAUUGGUGCUGCUGUUGGCUUGCCGGCUCAGGGCUCUUCUCCUGAUUCUGAUCACAUCUACUCUGAGGUUCAUUUCUACGCGAACCCCAUUUCAUUUUUUUUUUAUAUUCUUACCGUUAUAGGAAUAGUUAUUUUUAUUUAUAUUUGACAGCUAGUGAUUUUAUUUUCGUAAUUUUAUUUCCAUAAUGGUUAUUCUUAUCACACCAAUAAUACUACUUGUAGUCAGUUACUUUUCUGUUUAAUUGAACGAGCCUAUAUUACUUAUACGUCAAGCCUGUGAUUUCAUUACACAACCCUAUUUCAAUUAUAAGAAUACAAUUAUGUUGUGUUUACUUGUUGGAGUGGGAGUGAGGAGUGUAGAUUCCUCCCACUCCAGCGUUCUACACUCCAGCGUUUACUUCCUUAAAAUGAGAAAGGAGUGGGAAUCUCAUUCUGUGAGCCCCACCCAUUUUUAGAGUGGGGAGUGGGAGUGGGAGUGGGAGGUGGGAGUGGAUUCCCACUCCCACCUCUCCCUUUUUUACCCUUUUAUUUUUUAAUUUAAUAUUUUAUAAUUAAUAAAAUAAAUAAUAUUAUAUUUAUUUAAAUAAUAAUAUUAUAUUUAUUUGAAUAAUAUUAUUAUAUUUAUUUGAAUAAUAAUAUUAUAUUUAACUAAAUAAUAAUUUGUAUUGAUUCUAAGUUAAAAUUAUUUUAAAAUAAUAUUAUUAUAUUAAUAGAGAAUUAAUAAAUAUAAUAUUAUUAUAUUUAUUUUAAAAAUAAUAGUACUAUAUUUAUUUAAUAUUAAUAAUAAUAAAUAGUUUAUUCUAAGAAAAUAUUAAUUUUGUACUAAAUAAUAUUAUAUUAUUAUUUUAUAUAAUAAUAAAUUUAAUAUAAUUAUAUUAAAUAAAAUAAGGUUUCAUUUUAUAUUAAAAUUAAUAAUUUAUUGUUCAUAAUUAAGAAUAUUAAUAAUUAUAAUAAAUUUACAAAUAUAAUAAAAUAAAUAUUAUUCAUUAAAUAUAUAUUUUAUUAGUUUUGUAAUUAAAAACUAUAAUUCUUUAAAUAAGGAUAAAAUUGUAAUUUGAAACUAUUUACUCACAAUCCAAGACAAAGUAAACACAUAAAAUGGAUUCUGAUCUCUAUUCCAUACUUCCAUUCCAGUGUAAGUAAACAACAUACUCCCACUCCCACUCCACACUCCCAAUCCUAGGAUUCCCAAUCCAAUCCAAAAAGUAAACGCAGCCUUAAUCUUUUUUUUUUAAAGCAAUAGUCUCAUAGUUACUAUUUACAACUGAUCUGAUCUGUUCCUUGAGUUUGAUUUUUUUAAAAAAAAAAAAUCUCCCCUAAUUGUAAGUUAGUGAUAUCGUAUCCAAAGAACAAGUUAGAAAAUAAAAAAAUAAAAAAUAGAAAAUAUCAUUUUUUUUGUUGCAAGCUCCAAAGCUAGCGAGAAUAAGAUAAAGAUGUUACAUAAGUGGUGAAAAUUUUUGUGCUCUCCGUUACGUUUCAAAUUAAACUUAUCUUUCAAUGAUGAUAAAUGAGCAAAAAUUGUGUCAUCAUCAUCAGAUUGUCACUCGACUGUCCUCUUGUGUCAUUCAUAUUUUUCAAUUUUAGGAAAAUUUAGGAAUGGAAAAGAAGGUGGGGCAAUCUAUUCCUGGUUGGUGGGUACUGCACAGUCUAAUCUUGAUAUAACAUUUUGGUGAUCUUAAUUUCAAUUGAACAUAAUUGUAGAAGGUCGGCUACUCAAUUACGUUAACAUAUAAGCUGUCUAAUGUUUCCAUUUUCUGCGUAGUUAGCUCCAUAAUUGUCCAACCUAUUAUUCAAUUUUGGUCGGUGUAUUGCGGCUUUAUAACUUUUAAUUAGCUAGCCUUUUCUUUAUUUCUUUUCUUAUUGACUUUUUCAAUUUUCUUGCUUUGUAUAUAUCUUCAUAGUUAAGGAGGAAUCUAGUGAUGAAUGUUGUGGAACUUACUGCUUGUCUCUUUGGAACUUUAUUGAUGUUCAAGAAAUAAUGUAAAUGGGGACCAAAGUCAAUUUGCUUUUUAAUAAUUUGCAAUGAAGGUUUAAGUGGAGCCUCAUGACUUUGCUUGCGGAACAAGUACCAGGGUGGUCCUGUUGUUUUGUUACUUCGAGAACAUAACUACGAGAAACCUGUUUAACAAGAGACAUUUUUGGUGGAAUUUAAGAAACUAGCCGAUUGUGUGGCACAAGGGCUAAAAGAGCAGCCUGUGAUUGUUGCCCAUAGUAAAAAUAUUUUUGAUGGAAGUGGCAUUAAGAGACUCUUGUCAAACAAGUUUGAAUUAGACAAGGUGUGUCCUGUUUAAAACAUGCUUUUGUGUCAUAUUUUGGAGUGCAGCAUUAUUAUGGAAAAGCUUACUGAACUUCAUCUCAAAAUACAGACAAGGACUGCAGCUCUAGAGAUUGUGCCAAAAUAUCGUAAUGGGAAAUUAUCAAAAGACUAUUUACGUGUAGCAUUGGAUGCAGUGGCCGCAUCAGCUAGUUUACCCCGAAUUGGUGCAGUCGCACAGGUAUACUUCAUCAACUUGUGUUGCAGACAUUCCAACAAUAAUAUUAGAAGACAAUGCUGUUUGUAUUACACUAAUAAUUUAGCGGUCUUUUUACUAAAGGUUUACCCACUUCAACCUAGGAAAAACUAGUUUAUAGUAUUGGCAUGUGUCGCCUCAGUAGAUUAUCAGGUAGUCUAUAGCAUUGGCAUGCGUCAACUCAAUAGAUUACCAAAUUGAUGUUUGUCUAUUUGAUGGGAAGUAUUCUACCAGGGGGAGCAUAAAUAUCUAAGAGAAGAACUAUAAAAAGUAGAUACAUGUGCUCUACACUCCUUUUUUCUAUGACUAGCUUUUCUCAUCUGAGUUUUUAUUGGUGAAGGCUUUUAAUGAGAGUUAUUUUAUGACCAUAUGAAAGUGGUGGACAUUCAAUGGAGAGUAUUGUGUAACAAUGGGUUUACUGCUUGUUGAUGCAGGAUUUUGGUCUGCUCGUUCAAGAUUAGGAUUUCUCCUCAAACACUUGAAUUUGUAGUUGGUAGGGAAUGAGCUCGAGGUGCUUCUUUCCCUGAUGAGCAGGGUUUUAGAGAACUAAACUUGGCCUUGGCAAACCCUUGCACACACAACCAGUCAAGGGACGCCGGUAGUUUUUUCAACGUAAACCUUCCAACACUCAAAUCAAUAAUCUGGACUUAUUUAGGAAAAGCUAUGCCACUGAUUCGUGGCUUUGUUUUAAUUUUUAUCCCGUUAAUGUAAGAGACUUAUCAAAGAGAGUAAAAACCAGAAUGUCAAAGUGAAUUGUUAUAUAGAUAAGUUCAAUGUCCGAGUCUCCAACUCCUUUACCAUCAUUAAAUGUACCCUUUUAUAACUUGUUUGGGCGUUCUGUCUCCACUACCCCACGUUCAUGACUAUGUCAAGUGUUUCAUCAUGAGUGUAUCAGCGUUAUAACCAUUGCUAAGUAGGUUUUGUGUCUGGAAUCUCUGGAAAGAAUGCACGUGUUGAUAUCUCCUCGUAUUUUGUCUAACAACUGCACCAUAUAGCUCCCCGCCUACGAGCAAGUAGCUCCUGCACAUGGAUACCAGACAGCUCCUCGUGACCAAAGAAGCGACCCCUGCUCGGAUAUAUUUGGUCGGGACAUCAUACAUCCCAAACACAAUUAUUUUCAUUUAGUAUAUUUAUAGCUUAUUAAAAUAACUUAAAUCUAAUAAGCCUGCAGUUCAUUGAUUUAUUAAUUAAAUUUAAUGUAAUUUUUCACUAUAAAUAGCUAUGAGAAUAUAAGCCAAAAGCAUCCCAUUCUUAUUAUCUUUUUAUUUAGUACGAAGAAAGAUUUUUUUCUUAUCUUAAAUUUACUUUUUAUUAAUAAUUAUUAUUAUCUUAUUUAUUACAUUUUAGUAAUUUUUUUACAAAAUAUAAAAUAAAUUAUUUUUGUAACCUAUCCAUACUGUUAAAUUAUGAAACUUCGAAUGGAAAGAGUGGCACGUGAGACCAUGAUAAUUCAUUAUAAUACAAAUUAAACAACUCCAAAAAAAAAAAAAAGGUCCAGGUGCACUUCACAACGCAAAAGCUGUCGAAAACUACAAAAUAUUUUGUUGAUCUUUACUUUUCUUCAUUAAAAGUAUGCAAUUUAUUUUCACCAAAUGCAAGAGCAUGUCAGAAAAAUGAUCUAGCAAACACGUGUUUUAUUUUGUUAUUUUGCCAAAACAAAAAAUGACUUGUCAAAAACAAUAUCAUACUUAGCAACUCCCUUUAUCUUCAUAAUAAAAAAUGACGAACUUCAUUACUUGCCAAUUACCGUUUUCCCGCAGAUUUUAUUCAGGGUUGAAGCAUAUUUGUUUGGGGAGCAUAAUAAAGAUAGAUUUUACAAUGCCAAAGAAUUUCAUAAAAAAGUAGAUUAGAUUAGCGAUUAGACGAUUAAUAAAAAAAAUUUUUACUAAGCCAAACCUUUUAUUUUUUUUUUUCUUACAAGUGAAAAUUUUUCUUAAAAUUUUAUCAUUAAUUUAAAAUAUACUUUAAACACCAAUAUUUUCAUAACACCCCAUUAAAAAUUAUCAAUUUUGCAAAUGUAUGUUUGACACUAUAAAACCCAUCAAAAUGCCAAAACUCUUCGUAUUUUUUCUUGUCUCAUCUUCUUCCUUCGCCCAUUUUUUUGUAUAUUGAGAACUCUUAAUAUCAAAGGAAAAAAAUCUCUUAAUACUAUAAAUUUAUGAUACCUUUGUAUUAACUUGCUAGAAUUCUUUCGUAUUAACUAAAAAUACUUCCGCACAAGAAAAAUUAAUCUUCUUCAAUCUAUAAUAUUUUUAUAUGUGUAGUUCCCAUUAGAUCUACGUUUCAUUGAGAUUAAAAAUUUAAGGGGAAAUAAACGGUUAAUUGAAUGGCGUGUUCGUGGCAGAUUGUAAGUUCAAUUUUCAUUCAUUUCAUCAGAAAAAAAACGUUAUUUUGAAUUGAGGAAUCAUAAUCUUGAUAGACUGCAUUUUGACAGCCAAAUUACGAAAUCAAGAAGAAGACAAAUUGCUUUUUGCUUGUGAUUCAAUAAUUUACUUUUGACGGUGACAAUAAUCCAGCAAAAAGUUGAUGAAUUGGAAAUUGAGAACUCACUGUCACCUUCUCUUUUUUGAAAGUAACCCAUUUUCACUUUAUUGCAAUCCAAAAUAGUAGAUUGGCAGUCUAUUGUUUUCACUUUACUGCAAUUCAAAAUGGUAAAUUGGUAGUCUAGUAAAGCCUCCAAAACCAGCGGCGGAUCCGAGAAAUAAAUUCAGAAGGGCCUUAAUAUAAAUUGAUAAAAAAAAAUUCGAUAAGAUAAUAAAAAUCAAUUGAAAAAAUAAUAAGUAAAAUAUUUAAUUUUAUUGACAUAAUCAUUUUUUAAACUUCUUCAACUGAUCUCGACGUGUUUUCAUAUUUUGAAAACGUCGAAUAAUAUCUUCAUUGUUAAUACAAGCAAAUACAUCUUUUUCUAUGUAUACAACUAAGUUAUCAUUCAGUCAUUGAUCACCCAUUUGGUUUCGAAGUCGAUUCUUCACAAAAUUCAUGGCUGAAAAUACUCUUUCUACAGUGGCAGCAGCUACAAGUAGAAUUAAAGCCAAUGUAACCAAUUAGUAAACUAACGGGUACACCUUGUCCUUUUUAGUCUUAACUAUUGUCCUUACAAGUUCACAAAUCCCUUUCAAUUCUGAAAAUUCUGCACUAGAUCGUAAAUUCGUAAUGUAUACAUCAAGUUGCAUCUCAAGUGCUAUAAGAUCUAUUGCAGAAAAAUCUUUAGGAUAAAAUUCAGCAAGUCGCAGUAAUUUUUCCUUGUCAAAAGCUGCAAACAAAUCAUUUGGACAUAGAUAAGCCAAACAAAUAAGCAACUCAGUAUUUGACUCAUUGAAUCGAUUAUUUAGCUCUUGAAGUUGCAUGUCUAAGACAGCAUAAAAUAACUCAACUUGAUACCGAUGUAAAUUUGUGAUCUCUCGAGCUUUACGGCGUGAUCGCCCUGGAAUUAAAAACAAAUCACCCAUAGCUAAAACAUCGAUAUCAUGCUUGCUACAGAAAGUAGAAACUUGACCAAAUAAAGAAUCCCAUCCACUAUCUCUCAACUUCUAAAGGUUAUGCCUAUAAACUUCAACCAAUUUUACAGCAUUCAAAAUAUCUUGAUCUUUCUUUUGUAGUGCUUGUGACAACUCAUUUGCAUAGCCAAGAAUAUUUUUCAUUAAGAAUAAACAAAAUACAAAAUCAAAUGAUUGCAUCAACUUCAAUAGCAUUUUAGCAUGAAAUUUUUGUUCAUAAUUUCCUUCAACUUCAAUUAUCUCAAGCACAUUAACCACAAAUGGAAACAUAGAAAUUAUGCUCAUUAACGUACCAUAAUGAGAAGACCAGCGUGUAUCAGCAGGACGCUUUAAAGUAAUCUCUUGAUUCAAACCUUGUCCACUUGAAAGCUCGCCUUUACCUAAUGCUUCAAUAACUGCAAGAGCAUGUAUCUUAUGUAGAAUGUCACAACGUUUAGCUGACACUCCAACCACAUUAACUAGCAUUGAAACUAAAUUGAAUAAAGAAUUAACAUCCUCAUGCUUUUUUGCCACGGAAAUAAGAGCCAACUGCAGUUGAUGAGCAAAACAGUGAACAUUAUAAGCAGAUUCAUUCUCCUCUAAAAUGAGCAUUUUCAAACCAUUAAACUCACCCUGCAGAUUACUUGCGCCAUCAUAACCUUGCCCACGUAACAUUGACAAACUCAAUCCAAACCUUGAAAACAUAUUAUCAAGAGAUUCUUUAAGUGAGGCAGCUUUAGUGCUAGAAACAUGUUCAAUGCCUACAAAACGUUCAACCACAUAUCCAUUCUUAUCCACAUAACGUAAUACAAUAGCCAUUUGCUCUUUUGUAGAUAUAUCAGGAGACUCAUUAAUUAGAACAUAAAAUAAUGCACCAUCCAUCUCUCUAAUAAUAACAUUAGUAGUUUCAGUUGCAACACAACUUACAAUGUCUUUUUGGAUCUUUGUAGAUGUCAUUUGCAGAUUUAGAGGAGUAUUUUUGAAAGUAACAGCAUGAAUAUCUUCAUUAUGAUCAGCAAGGAAGUGUAAAAGCUCAAGAAAAUUCCCUCUGUUGCUUGAACCAUCAGACUCAUCAUGUCCACGAAAUGCUAGCCCUUGAUUUAAAGGAAAUCGAAUACAAUCAACAACAAUAUUCAAGCGAGUUUCAUAUUCACUUUGAGUUUUCUAGGAUUUUCUUUCAAAAAAUGUUGCAAUAUGUUGUUUCUGAUUCAUCAACCAUUCACAUUUUUGCCUAGCUCAGUUAUGGGCACUAUUGACACAUCCUUCAUGAAUCUUUAAUUUUUUUUUCUAAUUUUUAAAUCCUUUCCCAGUAAAAGUAUCACUGCCUGCUUGAUCACCAUUAUCUUCUUUGAAAAGAAAACAAAAAAGACAAUAUGCAGACUCUUCUUUUAUACUAUAUUCCAGCUAAGAACCAAAUUCUUUGAACCAAUCCGAAACAAAUCGUCGUUGUUGAUUUCUAAAUUUCUCAAAUUUAAAAUUGUGCCCCUUAGGUUGAAAAGGGCCCCUUUGUAAGUAUGUUCUUCGAACUUGAUCUCGAAUAUUACAAUUAUAACUAUCAAUACAAGGUCACAAGCUAAGGUCAUCAAGCAAAUUUUGUAAAUUGACUUCAUAUGAACCAUCACUAGUUCCCUCUAAAGGAGAUGGGAGCUGUGGUUUCUUUUUAAAUUUUUUUUUCAUAUCUGUUUCAAAUCAAAUAAAAUUAUUAAUUAUUAGAUUAAAUUUCACAAUAAGACUAAAUCCUAACAACAACGAACAAGAAUAAUUAAUUUAAUAAAAAUUUGAUAAUAUAAAAAUAUUAUUUGACAACACACUCAAUGGGGCUCACGGGAAAGAUACAUUAUUACAAAUUUUACUUUUGCAAUCGCUCAUUUAUUUACAUUAACGAAGUGAUUGCUUUUAUAAUUUAUAUAAUAAAUUAUACACCACUUUCAUCAUUUCAGAGAGCACCCACUAUUCCACCACUUUCCUUUUCAAUUUUAAUAUUAAAAAAUUGCUCAUUUUUCACAAAUCAAUUUUUACUUUUGGAAUUUUGUAUAUAACUACCAGAAUAAGAAUUGACGAACGAAGUUAGAGAGAUGCAGCACAUUCAUUCGGCCAAAAUCAUUAGUCAAACUUCAAAAUAACAUUCAAGCACAAUACUUGUUUCAAUCUAUGGGCUAUGGCUGAUCUAGCUAAGGGACGAAAUCAUGAAAGGCUCAUUUUUCAAUCUAUUUUUUAAUAAGAAUGAUAUUUAAAUUCAUUUUAAAGAGAAACAUAUAAUUAAAAAAAUGAAAAUCUUAUAUUUAAACUCAUUCUCUCAACAACCCCGAAGAUGCCCCAAAUACAAGCCGUUGGACACAAAGUUUCUUUUUUAAUUUUUUGAACUUUUUAUUUUAAAUGAGUUUACAAAUUGUCCCCUCAUCAUAGAUGAUAAGGUAUGUGUACCUUUUCACCCUCCACUUUCAAUUCUCACUGAUGUAGAUUUAAAAAGAAAAGAAAAGAAAAGUGAAGCCACCAAGUCAAUGGCAACUUGUGAAACAUUACUCGGACCUUGCUACCAAAGCUCAUUCAUUUUUCUUGCUCUCGGAAAUCACCAGAUCUGUGAGCUGCUGCUCUCAUUUCGGUAUGUUACUUUUGCUUCCUAUAUCGCUUACAGUGUUAUUUCAAUCCCUUUUUUCUCCGCCAAUGAAAGAUUUGAUAGUGAACAUGAACUUAUAUAUGAUGUUAAAUAGCUAGAUAUAUGCGAUGUUGUUUUGAUCUGAUGUUUAUUUAUGUUGCUAGAUGAAGUUUUUAAUUUUCUCCGAACUCUUGCGACUCUCUAACUGGAGCUUUCAGCAGUGAUUGAGGAUAUAUAACGAAGAAGGUAUGCGAUAUUAUUGUUUCAUAAACUCUUAAUUUGAUAUGUGUCUUACUUCCAAUGGUUGAUUAAUUUUCAUUAUAUUAUUUUUGCCAUUUAUUUGUAUUAAUUCUUAAGUCAAAGAUGGUUGAUUAAUAGGAAUCACCUCCAAGUCAUUACUGUUGACCAUACUUUAAAAAUAAAAUUAAUUUUCCUACAGGCCGUCUGGCCCCUUAGCCUUUCAAUCUCAAGUCCGAACAUGAGUCCAUUAUGCUCUCCUGCGAUUUCAAAUUGAUCCAUUUAAUACAUCUUUUGAAUUUCAUUUGUACAACAACUAUAAAAAUUAAAAGUGGCGCCGUUCAUGCUCCUCUAUUUUCCUCAUGAAACCCAGUUGGCCAAUUUUUAAACAAAAUCUUUAUUAAAAAAAUUGAUAAAUUUAUCAUUACUAAUAUCGCUCUUUUAAAAUUGACAUAUUUUGCAGAUUAUCUUCAUAUAAAUUAUACAAACCUCAAAUUAUCCUUAUACAAAUUAUUUAAUUUGCCACAAUCUUUACCAUCCCAAAUAAGGUGUCAUUUAUACCCAUUGGAUAUAUAGUAGGAUAGAGUAAUAAACAAUUUAACAAAUGAUUAAAUUAAUUGUCCAAUAGGUGAGUAUCUUGAAUACUUGAAGAAAAAAAAUAUUAGGAUAUUAUUUGACAAUUAUGGUAUUAUAUUAUUAAAAUAUUGAUUAAAGAAAAAAGGGGGUAAUAAUCUGGAAAUCCUUCAAAUUUUUUCAUGAGUGCGCGUGCAUAAGUUGUUGCGGAUUAGAAUAGGUUGUUGCGGUCUUCUAAUCUCUAUUACUCUUUUUUCAUCACUUUAGCAUAUUUCCACAUGAAACUGCCUGUCUUCACUUGCAAUUCACAACGAGCUCAAAUUUUUUUUUUUUUUAAAAAAGGUAAGGGUUAGAUAAAGCUACAAUUCAUUUCUUUUUAAACUCUUUACCUCAUCCAAGAUUCGAACCCGCUCCUUUUUGGGGCACAAUGAACUCUUAGGCUUAUCUAAAUUCUAUUAAAUUUGAUGCUUGAUAUUUUUCUUUAAAAUUUUCUAAAGCAAUCUAAUUUCAAUAUAAUCCACCAUAUAUCACGUUUACCUUAUUUCUUCUCUUCUGUUUGUAGCUAAAGGCUACUUAAAGCCCGGCGUUUGUAUUUUGCUCUUAUUGAUCAAAGCUAGCGUUAAUAAACGUGCAUUCGCAGAAUAGAAGAAAGUAAUUAAACGUUCAGAAAAAAGUAAUUAAACAUUAUCGUUCGAUCCUGUGAUUUAUAGCGUACUGAGAUCAACUUUGUUAAUUGCAGAUAAAUAGCAUGGAUAUUUUAUCAUGUGCUGGAUCAAAGUUUGCAGAAUUAUUGGGGGACGCAACCAUAAACCAAACUCGCUAUCUGUUCUGUUUCAACAACAUUGUUAAAGAACUUGAGAAUAAAGAAACUAAUUUGAAGGAGGAAAAAGAUGGCAUCAAUGAAAGAGUAGAACAAGAACGACAAAUACACCGCGCUAUUGUAAUCGAUAAAAAUGUAGAGAAGUGGUUGGAGGAUGUUGAGAAAGAAAUAGCAGAUGUUCGAAAUUUGAAAGCAAUAGUAGAUGAAAAGAAGAGCUGUCUUAACGGAUGGUGUCCUAAUUGGGGUUCCCGCUAUUGGCUGGGUAGAAAAGCAUCAAAAAAGACUAGCAAGCUGUCCGAUCUGCUACAAGACCGCAGCAAAUUCAGCACAGUUGCCCGUCCUAAACCUCUUCCAUCAGACAAAGAAUUGCCUAUACCAAGACAUUUCAUGUCUUUCGGGACUACAAAAUCGGCUUGCAAUCAGAUCAUUAAAGCACUGAAAGGAGACAACACGAAGAUAAUGGGAUUGUAUGGGAUUGGUGGUGUCGGAAAGACGACUUUGGCGAACUUUGUGGGCAAUCAACUUCGGGAAGAAAAUGUUUUCGAUGAGGUGGGGAUAGCCACUGUAUCUCAGGAUCAAAACAUAAUAAAUGUUCAAAGUGAGCUAGUAAAGUCGUUGGGUUGGGAAUUAACGGAGAAAUAUGAAAAAGAUAGAGCACGCCGAUUGCGCAUGAUGUUCUCUGAGAGUAAGAGCCGCAAGAUGCUCAUAAUUCUUGAUGAUGUCUGGAAUGAACUCGACUUGGAAAAAGUAGGUAUUCCUGUUGGUGAUAGUGACAAUUGUUGCAAAAUCCUUCUAACCACUCGGCUGCAGCCAGUUUGUGAUCGCAUGGGUUGUGACACGCAGAUCCAACUAGGUGUUCUAAGGCAAUAUGAAGGAUUGGAUUUACUAAGAAAGCAUGCUGGCAUUGAUGUUGCUGAUACAACCUUGAUUGAUGUUUCAAAACGAGUUGCUGAUGAAUGUAAGGGGCUGCCUUUAGCUAUUAAAGCUGUUGGAAAUGCACUAAGAGGAAGAACCGCUGAUGAAUGGAAUGUAGCACUAGAUAAACUACAAAAUGCAAGACUCCAUAAGAUAGAAGGUAUUGAUAAGGAUUCUCAGGGCGUUUACGGUUGUCUCAAAUUUAGUUAUGAUUAUUUGAAUGGUGAGGAUUCCAGGUCAUGCUUCUUGUUGUGUUCGCUGUUUCCAGAAGAUUAUAAGAUAGAUUUGGAGGAUUUGCUUGGAUACGGAGUGGGGUUGGUUUGGUAUCAAGCUGAGUCAAUCGAAAAAGCCAGAAGCCUGCUGCGUGGAACGAUUAAAGGACUCAAAGAUUCUUCAUUGCUGUUAGACACUGAUGAUGACGGAUUUGUGAAAAUGCAUGACGUAGUUCGCGAUGUAGCCUUAUGGAUAGGCUCAGUGGAGAAGAAAUUUUUUACUAGUAAAGUUGGCAUUGGAUUGGCGGAACGGGCAAUAGAAAAAGGCCGGGAACAAUGCAGAGGAAUCUCUUUCGUGGGAAAUAAAAAAGAAGAGCUUCCUAAUGGUUUGGCAUUUGCUAAUCUUCAUAUUUUGCGAUUGCACAAUGCUGUCUAUGACUACAAAUUGGAAGUUCCAGAACAUUUUUUCAAAGAAAUGCCAGCACUGAAAGUUGUUAAUAUAAUACGUGGAGUUCUUUCACUUAAAUCGCUUCAGAUCCUCACCAACCUCCAGGUUCUGCAGUUGAUUCGAUGUGAGGUGAGUGACGCGUCUUUCCUUGGAAAGUUGAAAAGACUUCAAAUUCUCUGUCUCCAGCGGUCUGCCAUUGAAAUUCCUGAAGAAUCGUGGGAUGAACUUAGUAGAUUGAAACUUCUACAUAUUGAUACUAGUUUUAUUUCUCCCAUCACGAUAAAAAAAUUCCCUCAAUUAGAAGAAUUUUAUGGUCUGAUAAAAAAUUGGGCGGUUGAAGGGAUGAGUUCAGAAGAAAGUUACGCCAGGUAUGCUGAGUCGGACUCCCAACCCGACGGAUCCGUUGUACAUCUUCCAAAAGACUUUUCAUUUCCGAAAUUACAAAGGUAUCACAUCGAUAAAGUUGACGGCAAUGGUUUUGUAAUUUAUAGAGGGACAAGGUGGUUAUGCAUUGAGAAUGACCAUAAGGCAACACUAGUUAUUUUUUCAGCAUUGUAUCCAGAAUUGGAAAAUCUUUAUCUAAAUAGGGUAAGAGGUUGUCAUAAUAUUGUGCCAAGCAUAGAUGGAAGGGGAUUAAAUGAGUUGACUUCUCUUGACGUCAACUAUUGCGAAGAUUUAGAAUGCAUAAUGGAUGCCUCUAAGUCGCCGCAUGGAAAGAGUGGGAAUCCUGUGAUGCUCUCAAGAUUAGCAAGGUUAUAUAUGUCAGAAUUACAAGAACUGAAGUGGAUAUGGAAGGCGCCCGCCCAACAUGUGAUCAGCCUCCAAUCUCUUACAGAAUUAAGUGUGUCACGGUGCAACAAUUUGACAUAUAUCUUCACGUUGUCACAAGCUCGAAGUUUGGUGCAGCUUAAAACUCUGGAAGUGAGGGAGUGUGAGAGACUGGAAUGUAUCAUCAAAGCAAAAUUUGAUCAUAAUGAAGGGGAAAUAAGUGCAGUAGAUGGAAAUACAAUACUCGAGCUCCCUUUGUUGAGAAAAUUAAGAUUUGAAGAUAUCCCCGAACUCAUGAGCUUCGGUUCAGAAAAUUAUUAUUCAACUUGGCCGGCAUUGGAGGAGUUAGACCUAAGCAGCUGUCCUAAAUUGACCGUCAACAGUAUUGAACUUGAAGCCAAUUUGCAGUAUCUUGGAGAGGUAUGUUUGUUUGUGUUUAUGUUUUAUUCUUUUUUUUCCUUUAAUUUUAUUCAAAAUGAUAGUUUAUCGAUAACUUUUGUAAUCAGUCAUUCAUAUCACCUUGCAUUUGGCCGUGUUGAGAUGAAAGUGAUGGUGGUAGUAGUGGUGAUGGUGUAAUCAGUCAUUCAUAUCACCUUGCAUUUGGCCGUGUUGAGAUGAAAGUGAUGGUGGUAGUAGUGGUGAUGGUGGUAAUGGUGAUGAUGACAAUAAUAAUGAUCCAGUAUCUUAAGCAAAUUUCUUUGUUUUAGGGCCUAAAAUUCAUUCUUCAAAUAAAAGUCAUAUCUCGUUUUACUUUAUUAAAAAACUGGAUGCAAUCACUUGUAAAGAGUAUAUAUUAUUAGUCAAAUUCAAUUCAUUAGUUAAUUUAACCAUAGAAAUAAAAUACUAUUUUUUCUCAAACAAACCGAUGCCACUGCAAUAUCACUUCACAUUAUCUCUUUCAACAAAUUUCUUUUUAUUUUUCAUAAAUUCGUUACUUUCACAAAGUAUAAUUAUUUUAUAAGUUUACAUAUGUAGUAUUAUAUUUUUAUAGGAAUUUUUUUAGUGUUUGUCGCUUAAUUGUCAAUUUGACAAUCCUAGCUGCUAACAAAUUUUAAUUACAUCAAGUUAUUUAUUUAUUUGUCUCAGAAAUUAAGAAUCCUAAGAGUAGGCAAAUGCUUCCAUUUGCAUGACACAAUUGACGCUCUGUUGAAGCAUGGCUUAAAAAAUUUGGAAACAUUGUCUAUUGGAGAACUUGGAGUACAAGUGGUAUUUCAAGUGGAAGUUAUUAUCGCUGCGGGACAAGAAAACAAACUAUUCCCAUGUUUGAAGACGUUGUGGUUGGAAAACCUUCGAGAACUGCAAGUAUUAUACCAUGAAGGUCCUACGCAUAAUUUUAGCCUGCAAAAUCUUACCAGAUUUACUGUAAGGGGUGCACUAUGCUGAGACGUCUCUUCUCAUCAACACUUGCUCGAAAUCUGUUGCAAUUGGAGCAUUUGGAGAUUUAUAAUUGUCCGGAAUUAGAGCAAAUCAUUGCUGAGGAUGAGGAUGAGGAUGAGGAGCAUCUCCAACCUGUAGGUCCCAUGCAUAAUUUUAGCCUGCAAAGUCUUACAUGUUUAAAAGUGGACGGGUGCACUGUGCUGAGACGUCUCUUCUCAUCAACACUUGCUCGUAAUCUGUUGCAAUUGGAGAAGCUGGAAAUUUAUUUUUGCUGGGAAUUAGAGCAAAUCAUUGCUGAGGAUGAGGAUGAGGAGCAUCUCCAACCUGUAUGUUUCUCAAAACUCAGAAGCAUCACUGUCGGUUUUUGCCCCAAACUAAAGCAUCUAUUUCAUAUCAGCGUAGCUCCAAGUCUUCAAAAACUGUCGCGCCUAUGCAUGAUAGGUAAUGAUAAAUUAGAAGAAGUAUUCUGGCAUAAAGAUGGAGCAGACGUCACGGAUUACAAUGAAAUUGUUAUGAAUGAACUUGGGAGGUUGGAACUGAGAGAUUUACUAAACCUCACCAACAUUUGGCCUGCGGGUUAUCAGAUCCCAUUUCCAUGUGCCAAGUCUGUAGAUGUUAAUAAUUGUCCCAAGCUUCGUCUAAAUUCAGAAGGAGAUAGAUGAUUCCAAGAAUUCUGGAGCACAGGUCAACUCUUGAGAACUUUAGUUAAUUGACUCUAUACAUAGUUGGUUCAUGUUUUCGUUUGUGAUAGCUAAUUGAUCUAUCCUAAAAUCAAAAUUUCUCUUUCAACAUAUAUGUGUUAUAUUUUAAUUUUCUCUGUUUGUUUUUUUUUUUAAUCAUUUUAUUCAUCAUUCGUAUUUAAUGCCCAAUUUAUUGGUUGGAUAUAUAGGCACAGCAAACUACAGACGAGGCAGAUGCCAGCUAAGAGAGGGAUGCCAAUGAAGACGCCAGCGAAGAAAAAGAUGGCAUCGAACAUAAAUGACUUUAAAAAAUUCAAAAAAAAAAGCUUUGUUCAGUUCGCGCAAGAAGCUAACAAGCUUUGUUCUAUACUUGCUCUGCAGAUGGAUGGUUAAUAUUUAGUGCGUGCUCAAAUUGUGAAGACUAAAGUUUCAAGACUUUGUUGUAUGUAUCUCAAGAUUUGCUCAACUUCAAAAUUCACCUGUUCUGUUUGUGAUCAUUGUUUCUUCAAUUGUUGAAAUUUUGACAAAAUUGCUGGCUAAAUUAAUGGCCUUUUCGAUGGGCAUUAAUUGGGCUAAUUUAGUAGUAACACGCAUUUUCUAGACGGCGAAGAAAAUGUGUGGUGACAGCAAUAAUUUUUAUUUUUUAAGUUUGCGAGAGUAUUGGAUAUUUUGGGAUUUUAGGAAGUGAGACUUCAUCAACUCAUAAAUGAGUGGCUACAAAUGUGUCUUUCGCGUUCGAUCUCUAUAUAUAUAGGUUUAAAUACAAUGGACGCUACUUCAUUUUUCAUAUUUUUGGAGAAGCCAAAAUCAAAAGCAAAACAGAGAGAAGAAAAAGAAAUUGGGAGAAAGAAAGAAAAAGAAAAGAAGAAAAGAAAUAAAAGAAAACAGAGAAGCCAAGAGUGAAGAAAAAUAGAAAAAGGAAGGGAAAAUAGAAAGGAGUCUAAGAAGCCGAGAGUAAAAAAGAAGUUGAAAAGAGAAAUUGAGAAGAAACUUUAAGGAAAUGAAACUAGGCAGCUAGAUUGAUAUCUAGUGAAUUAGUGAGCAAUAGAUAUAUAAAGUUCGAAUAGUUAUAUUACAGUUUUCAUGAUACAUAUCAGGUAUUAUAUUAAUUAUAGUAGUUAAUUUUUUAACCCUGUGUUUUAAGAGAAAUUUAUGUUUCCAGAAACCCACAAGAGCUUGAACAAACCCGAGAGUAAACUAGGCUCUGUGAAUGGAUAUUAUUAUUACUAUUAUGCAUUCUAUGAAGCAUUUAUGUUUUAUAGUAUAAUUUAAUAUCAUGUUAUAAUGAUAUGCACAAAUUUUAUAUGUUUGAUUGAGUCAUAAGAUGUAAUUGCCAGUCACCAUAUAUGUAUUCUUUCACAUUACCUCUGUACAUGCAGAUUGAGAGUUAGGUUACUCUACCCGUGUAAUGUAGUUAAAUUCAGCUAGUAUUGAGAGGUUUUUCCCCUGCCUGCUCGUGCGAUGAUAAUUUUGGUGAGUAUUAAGAGUUAUUUUCCCUGGGUACUAUUUGUUGCAGUUUUUCCAUGUAUAUAUGUAUGAUUUUAUGUCAUACGAUUAUGUAUGAGCUCUAGUGCAUUACUUUAUAUAUAUAUAUAUAUAUAUAUAUAUAUAUAUAUAUAUAUAUAUAUAUAUAUAUAUAUAUAUAUAUAUAUAUAUAUAUAUAUAUAUAAUUAUAUUCACUCACUGAAUCAUAAACUCACUAUUCUCCUAUUUAUCUCAUUUUUCCUAGGUCUCGGCUGGAUUUAUGCAAUUCGAUUUUUAAUCAAUUGAGGUUAGGCCAUGACACACAUUGCUGCAUGACUUGCAUUUUGAGCACGUUUAUGUCCAUAUGUAUAUAUCUAAGAUAUAUGUGUAUAUAGUGAGUUUUAAAUUGUACGAAAUUUGAAUAUGUUUAUUAUAUGUUUUAUAGUAAAGGCCCGAGGCCAUUUUUAUAUAUCCAUGAAUUAGUUUAUGUCGUGAGUUUUAAAUAUUAAACCGCAUGAUUCGCCGCGAAUCCGACAUAUGGGUCGGGCGGGUCGUGUCAUUCAUCCAUCACGAUUUUACAAUUUAUAUCAUUCAUCCAAAAUAUCUUUAAUUUCCAAUAGAAAUUUGACAAAAUCAUAGCAAAUUGAUCAUUUUGCUCUUGAAAGUCAAUUUAACGUAAAAAGACAAAGGAAAAUUAUCAACCACAUACUUUUAGUUUACCUUGUUAUUGAAAACACUAAAAAGUUUGAAUUUAUUUAAUUUUUUACUCAAGAUUUAUAAUUGAUAUCAACUACCCACCAAAAAUGUUAACACUAAAAAGAACAAGCUUAAUAACAAAACUAGAAAAAUUGAACAAAAACAGGGUGAACACAAUGGGAUUUUGAAGGAAAAAUGAGCACACCUAUCUUGAUCAAAGACGCAGCACAAGAUCAACGGAUACAGAGAAAAUGAAUGCUAAUGAACAAGUCGAGAAUCCAAGGAUUUGAACAAGAAAUGAAAGAGUACAAGUCACACCAAUCGGGCAAACAGAUCAGUCUUUUUAUGCAAUUCUAGGUUUGUUAUGAAGAUAACAAACUUAUCUAACCUGCAUCCUUUUUCACUUUAAGUCCUUUAACCGGGUUCUAUCAAAUCCUUUCACAGGAGGUAGACAUCACAGCCUUGUGAUUGACAAAGAUAGCUUCCCUCGUGCUGAGCUCGAGCUCACAGCAUGGACUGAAGAUGGGCUCAUAAUGGCUGCCGGUCACAAGAAAUAUAAGCAUCUGCUUGGGAUUCAGUUUCAUCUGGAGAGCAUUCUUACCAUUGAAGGCAAGACAAUUGUUCGCAAUUUUAUCAACAAUGAUUUAGAUAACGCCAAUUCAGUAUAACUAAUCUAAUAGUUAUAAGUAUUUUUUAAACUUAUAAGUGCUUUCAGAUUUUUUAUCAUUAUUUAGUUAUUUUUUAGUAGAACUUUUGAGAUUAAAUAAAUUAUUUUGCCUCCACUAGUAAAAACCUAAAUUUUGAGCUUUUUUUUUUAAAUGUUAAAAUGUCUAAAAUAUUAUUUAUUUAUUAAAUAAUAUUAUUUUAUUUUUUCAUAACAUAACUUUAAAAAAAAUUAUUUAUUAAAGUAAUUUUUUAAUUUUUAAUAAAAACUACCAAUGAGAAUUAAAUAACUACAAUUUUUUUUAAAUACUAAUAAAAAUAUUACUUAAAUAAAUUUUGUUUAAAAAAAUUAUACUAAAUAGAACCUUAGGCUAAAAAAACUUAUUUUAAGCCCAGCUAAAUUGAAAUAAUUUCUCAAUAAACAUUAUUUAUUAAAUAUUAUAGCCUCGUAUUGCAUUGUUUCUUCAGAUUAUUAUUAUUAUUAUUAUUAUUAAAUCCCUCUAUAAUACCAUAAUUUUUUUUACAGCAUCAUUAAUAUUGUCUUUAACAAAAAAACUCAUAAAUAUCAAAAUCAAAUCUCAAUAAAAGAGGUUUUGUCUCAAGGGAAAAAUAAAAAAAGGUGUGCACGAGAAGUUCAAUUUGGCACGUAGUCCUGUUUUUGCAUUUGUAUGAAAAGACUACAAAUGUACACAUCCCCAAUAUUAAUUGAUCGUCGUGAUGAUCAUCAAUAGCGGCGUUUCGUGGCAUCCAACCGAAACUUAAAUAUCAGGAAAAAAAAUUAAACAUGCGAAGCUAGUUAGUUAAUUCGGUUAGGAGGAUAAGUGGUGAGCUGAGUCAGCGUUUGUGGGGCCAGUAGUUAGUUAAGUUUGUUGCUACUAACAGCUGGACAAACGGAGCUAUAAUAUAUGGCUCAAGCCUAAUCAGCAGUGGUACUUGAAUCACGAUUUUGAGAGACUUAGGGUGAGAGAUAGAAAAUUCUCUGUGAGAGAGAUUUAAUCCUUGUCAUCAGUUGUCUCUUUGUAAUCAAUCAGUUCAAUAAAAGCUUCAAGCCCAAGAGGGUUCUUUAGCCGUGGAGGUAGGUACCAUUAGUACUGAACCACGUAAUCUUUGAGUGUUGUCUUCUUCAUCUUAUUCUUUUAUUCGAGUUCUUUAGCUUUUUUGGAUGUGUUGUUGUUUUCUUUAUCUUAUGAUAACAAUUCUUGGGGAGUCAGAUUGAUUGGGUUUGGUUGAUUAACGAUCAAGAUUUAACUAGUUUCUUAACAAAUUGGUAUCAGAGCCCUUACAGCUCUCAACGCGUGUUCACAAAUGGCUUCUACCAUAUAUGAUCUAGAAAAGUUCAAUGGCGAAAAUAACUUCUACCUAUGGAGUCUCAAGAUGCAUACAAUCUUGAUACAAUAGGGGCUUGAUGCUGCCCUUGAUAUUGAAGAAGAUCAAAUUGGUAAGAAAGAAAAAGCAUAAGGUUCCUCAGGUUCAGGUGGAGACUUGAGGACAAUCAACAACAAAGCUCACAACACCAUUAUCUUGCAUCUUUCAGAUGAAGUGCUGAGGGAGGUAGCAAAAGAAAGAUCUGCAUCAGGCCUCUGGACAAAACUUGAAGAGAUGUUCUUGAAGAAAUCCUUAGCCACGAGACUCUACAUGAAAAGGAGAUUGUACACGUUCUCAAUGAAGGAGGGAAUAACAAUGAAAGAUCAUCUUGAUGAAUUCAACAAGUUAAUUCUGGACCUGGAGAAUGUGAGCAUAAAUCUUGAAGAUGAGGACAAAGCUCUUAUACUGUUAAGCUCUCUUCCAGACUCAUAUGAGCAUUUCGUUGAUACAUUACUGUAUGGGAGACAAACCAUCACCUUAAAAGAUGUAAAGAGUACUCUCGAGUCAAAAGAUCUAAAGAAAAAAACUGAAGGAAAAGAUCAGGGGAUGGGUGAAAUCCUGAUGGCCAAAUCAAAAAUUGACAAGAAGAAGAAACAUGAGAAGAAGAAACUCGAAAAGAUCCAAAAUGAGACCUUUGGAAAGGCAGCUAUAGCAUCUGAGGAUGAAGGAGAUUCAGAAGGAGCUGAUGUUCUCAUUGCUGUCGAGAAGUAACCCACUGAAGAAUGGAUCCUUAACUCAGGCUGCUCCUUCCACAUGAGCCCCAAUAAGCAACUCUUCAAGACUUUCAAGAAAGUUGAUACAGGUAAAAAGUUGAUACAGGUAAAGUCUUACUAGGAAAUAACUUAGCAUGUAAAGUUGCUGGAAUUGGGACAGUGACCAUUACUAUGCAUGAUGGGGUAGCAAGAGAUCUAAGAAAUGUUAGAUAUGUACCAGAUCUAAAAAGAAAUCUUAUAUCCCUAGGAGAAGUUGACCAAUCUGGUUGCAGCAUAAAAGCUGAAAACGGUGAGCUAGAGGUCAUUAAAAAUGGCAUAGUUACAAUGAAGGGGGUUAGAAGAAAUGGACUAUAUGUUCUGAUAGGAUCAUCUUACAUACCAGGAAUAAUGGCCUCAGUUAGUAAAGAUAAAACUAAAAUAUGACACAUGAGAUUAGGCCACAUGAGUGAGAAAGGUUUAAGAGAGCUCAGUAAACAAGGAGUAAUUGGUUCUAAUCAGAUCUCCUCACUUGAGUUCUGUGAAAAGUGUGUUUUUAGUAAAGCAACCAGACAAAAGUUUGGCACUAGCAAGCAAGAAACCAAACAUUCAAUGGACUACAUCCAUUCAGACUUAUGGGGGCCAUCACAAGUUCCAUCACAUGGUGGGGCUAGAUACUUCAUGACUUUGAUUGGUGACUACACUAGAAAAGUUUGGGUUUAUGUCUUAAAACAGAAGGGGGAAGCACUACUGAAGUUCAAAGAAUGGAUGACAUUAAUUGAGAAUCAGACUGAGAGGAAAGUGAAAAGGCUGAGGAUUGAUAAUGGCCUAGAAUACUACAGCAAGGAGUUUGAUAGCUUCUGUAAAGAGAAGGGAAUUGUAAGACACAAAACAGUAAGGCGUAUACCUCAGCAAAAUGGCCUUGCUGAGAGGAUGAACAGGACCUUAGUGGAGAAAGUCAGGUGCAUGCUGUUUAGUGCAAAUCUAUCAAAACACUUCUGGGCUGAUGCUGUCACUACAGCAGCAUAUCUAAUCAACAGAAGCCCCUCUACAGCACUGAACUUCAAAACCCCCCAAGAGGUCUGGUCUGGUAAAAUUCCUGAUCUCAGUAAUCUUAGAAUAUUUAGCUCACCAACAUAUGCACACAUCAAACAGGGAAAACUUGAGUCUAGGGCAAUUAAAGGUAUCUUUAUUGGGUACCCUGAGGGAGUUAAGGAAUAUAGGAUCUGGUUUUCUGAUGGGAAACCUUCAAGAGUAAUUGUGAGCAGGGAUGUUAUUUUUUAUGAGGAUGCUAUGCUACAACAAAAGGUUGAAACUGAACUAUUAGCUCUUGAGCAAAGUAUCAGUCAAGAGCCUAACUUGGAGGUGGAGUCUGCAGAUGACAAGAUCAAAUCUCAUGAUAGCAGAACUAGCUCCUCAGAAAAAGAGACUUAUCAGCUGGCAAGAGACAGAGAGAUGAGAGUUAUCAGAAUGCCUAAGAGAUUUGGCAUAGCUGAUCUGAUAUCCUAUGCACUCACAGUGGCUGAAGAAGUUAUUGGGGAAGAACUUAGUAGCUACAAACAAGCCAUGAACAGCAGAGAUAAGUCAAAUUGGUUAUCAAUAAUGAAAAAAGAAAUGGCAUCACUAAAGAAAAAUGACACAUGGAUUUUGGUAGAAAAGCCUAUGGAAAGGAAGCUAGUUGAGUGUAAAUGGAUUUUCAAGCUUAAAGAAGGAGUUGCUGGUGUUGAACCUCCAAGAUAUAAAGUUAGGCUGGUUGCUAAGGGUUUUACACAAAGAGAAGGGGUAGAUUACAGUGAAGUGUUUUCUCCUGUUGCUAAGUACAGCUCAAUCAAGGUGUUACUUGCCAUCACAGCUUAUUUUGAUUUGGAGUUAGAUAAGCUAGAUGUCAAGACAGCCUUUCUUCAUGGAAACCUUGAGGAAGAGAUAUACAUGGAACAACCAAAAGGUUUCAUUCAGAAUGGAUUAGAAGACAGGGUUUGCUUGCUUAAAAAGAGUUUAUAUGGCUUGAAGCAAUCUCCCAGACAGGGGUAUUUGAAGUUUGACCAGUUUAUGAUGGCACAUGGCUACUUUAGAAGUCAAUAUAAUAAUUGUGUAUACUGUAAGCUUCUACCUUCUAGAAAUGGGAUUUAUUUACUUUUCUAUAUUGAUGACAUUCUCAUAGCAUGCAAACACAGAGAAAAAAUAGAGAAACUUAAGUCUGAGCUGAGAUCUGAAUUUGAAAUGAAAGACUUAGGCUCUGUAAGCAAGAUCCUAUGAAUGCAGGUCAAGAGAGAUUGAGUUGCCAAAACUCUAUUCCUCACACAGGCUGGUUAUGUAAGAAAAGUUUUGAACAAGUUUGGAAUGAUAAAUGUAAAAGAAGUUUCCACUCCCUUAGCCACUCAUUUCAAAUUGUCAAAACAGUAGGAGUCAUCUGAUGAUGCUGAUAUUGAGUAUAUGAAGAAGGUUUCUUACUCUAGUGUAGUUGGAAGCAUUAUGUAUGCUAUGGUCUGCACUAGACCUAAUAUUGCUUAUAGUGUGGGCUUGGUUAGCAGAUUUAUGGGGAAUCCAGGAAAGAGUCACUGGGAUGCUGCUAAAUGGACACUUAGGUAUCUUAAAGGGACAUCUGAAUCUAAUAUUUUGUUUGGAGGGGAUGAGGGUGUCACAAGUAAAAUCAUUGGCUAUGUGGACUCUGAUUUCGCUGGUGACUUGGACAAAAGAAGGUCAACUACUGGUUUUGUUUUUACAUUGUGUGGUGGAGUUGUGAGUUGGAAAGCUUCUCUAGAGCCAGUGGUUGCAUUAUCCACUAUUGAGGCUGAGUACAUUGCAUUAGUUGAAGCUGUAAAAGAAGCAAAAUGGCUCAGUGGAAUAGUAUCAGAACUGGGACUGAAUCAAGACACAAUUCCCGUAUGUUGUAACAGCUCAAGUGCAAUUCAGCUGAGUAAGAAUUCCAAGUGUCAUGAAAGAACCAAGCAUGUAGAUAUAAGACUACAUUUCAUAAGGGAAGAAAUUGAAAGAGGUGCAAUAGAUGUCGUUAGAAUAUCUACAGAGGACAAUCCAGCAGAUGCAUUAACAAAACCAUUGCCAACAAUCAAGUUCAGGAACUCUCUGAGCUUGAUUGGAGUUAGAUGCUUGUAAGUCAAGCAUGUCAACAAGCUGAAGCAUAGUUGGGGUGAGGCUGGAACAGAAUGAACUAAGGUGGAGAUUUGUGAAGCUAGUUAGUUAAUUCGGUUAGGAGGAUAAGUGGCAAGCUGAGUCAGCGUUUGCGGGGCCAGUAGUUAGUUAAGUUUGUUGCUACUAACAGCUGGACAAACAGAGCUAUAAUAUAUGGCUCAAGCCUGAUCAGCAGUGGUACUUGAAUCACGAUUUUGAGAGACUUAGGGUGAGAGAUAGAAAAUUCUCUGUGAGAGAGAUUUAAUCAUUUUCAUCAGUUGUCUCUUUGUAAUCAAUCAGUUCAAUAAAAGCUUCAAGUCCAAGAGGGUUCUUUAGCCGUGGAGGUAGGUACCAUUGGUACUGAACCACGUAAUCUUUGAGUGUUGUCUUCUUCAUUUUAUUCUUUUAUUCGAGUUCUUUAGCUUUAUUGGAUGUGUUGUUGUUUUCUUUACCUUAUGAUAACAGUUCUUGGGGAGUCAGAUCGAUUAGGUUUGGUUGAUUAACGAUCAAGAUUUAACUAGUUUCUUAACAAAACAAAAAACGGUUUUCACUUUCCAUUGAACUCUUGCAAAUUAAGCAACUCUAUAUACAUCGUUGUUAUUGUUUUUAUUAUGUUUUUGUUGCAUUAUUGUGAAAAAAUCAAAGGAAUAUCGAGAAAAGGAGACGAUGGGAUCUUUUCUUUCAAGACCCUUGCUGUAUGCAGCAAACAAUUAAUCAGAAAUUCCAUUUUCUUUUAUUUUCCGUUUAGUUUUUCUUUAAUUAUCAGAAAUAUUAACUUAAGUUAAUGGUUUAUUAAUUGGAAUUUUUUUCCCCCUUCACGGAAUGGUUUUUGGUUAUGCUUACCCUGCAUAUGAGUGCUUUAAAGCAGUAGAGAAGAACAAGCCAGAUAUUGAACAGCUCCUGUUUUGGUGCCAAUAUUGGUAUGGAUCAAUGCUUACACUAUUAACUAAGGAUUAUUUUGCAACAAUACUAAUUAAUCCCUACAUAUAACGACUCAUAUUCAUGUCUAGGUGUUUGAAUUUAAUAAAUUCAAAUUAUUAGAAUCAGAGUUAUACAGCACCUGAUUCUAAUUCAACUUUUAAUAUUUUCAGGGGACGGCUUAUGUUAUAUAAUGUUUUAUUGCGGCCUUAUGCUGCAAAACAUGAGAAAGAAAUUGAUCUUAAUUUGUUGAAGCUGAGAAUUAAGGCCAGGGAAAUAGGUCUUCUGCUUUGGGAGAAGGCUGCCAUUUAUGGGCAAACAAGGUUUUUUGAGAUUUUGCAGUACGUCUCUUCUCACUCAGCUUCACUGCCUCAAUCUGAUCAGGUAAUUUAACAACAUUUUGUAAGAUAUUUUGCUGCCAAUUUCCUCAUUAAGAGACAAAAAAUGUUUUGUUUUAGGAUUUAUGAAAAACGACAGAAAAAUAAGUGGAAAAAUAUAAAAGAAAUUAUAGUGAAUUUUCUUGUUAUAUUACAAUAUAUAGGAAGCAAGUUAAACUGUUUUUGAUUCUGCUGCAGCAGCAGCAAGAAGCUACGGAAGAAGCUAUAAAUGGAAGAAGCUACAGCAAGAAUUUUCUUGUCAUAUUUGCCAACAAAAUAUGAGGCUGCUGCUAAAAUGGAAACAAUGCCAGUAUCAUCAUCUUUCCAAGAUGGCAAUUUAAUUAAUUCCUUCAAUCAAAAAGGAGUUUCCAGUGAUCAAGCUAUCCGGCAAUCAAGAAGCAAAUGGACGUUGUUCAGGACUGCAGCAGCAAGCCAAUAAUAAAGCCCUUGUAUUUGUCUUCUGCCAUUAUGAAGAUGAUUUAUAUACGUAGAAGAUGCAAAUUUAACACCAAUUAAUAGUUAAUUAGUCUCCAUUGUUUACUUGCUACCAAUUUUGUAUCAUAAAAAUCUCAUGGGACUAUUGAUUAACAAUAUAUAUAGUGAGUAGUAGUGGCUGGGUACUUUCAGUUGGAAGAAAAUUGUAUAUGCUUGGAGGACAUGUUUGUUUUUUUAUGACUAAAUAUAAGUGUUAAAUUAUUUGUCUUAUAAGCAAAAAAAAAAAUUGAAUUAUAAUAUUUUGACAUUUAUGUCCCUAUAAGUAUUAAUAUAUAUUUGAUAAGUUAAAGAUGGUUUGUGACAGUCAGAGUGUCUUGCAUAUUGCAAGGAACCCAGCCUUUCAUUCUAGAACAAAGCACAUGGGGGUUCAGUAUCACUUCGUUCGAGAAGUAGUGGAAGCCGGAAGUGUGGAUUUAUAGAAAAUCCAUACGAAGGAGAACCUAGCAGAUGUUUUGACCAAGCCGAUAAAUACUGAUAAGUUUGUCUGCAGUAGAUCCUCUUGUGGCUUAGUAGAAACGUAGGCAACAUGACAAUGACGAAGCAGAAAUGAUGAUGUGGAGAUUGAUUGAUUCUCAAUCAAAUCUCCAAGUGGGAGAAUGUCAAAAGAUUUGGCUGCAGCAUCUAGAAGCUGCAUCUAGAAGGUUUGAAGAAGUAAAAUGGUUGGCACAUGGCUUUGAAGUUCUAAAUGCCGUAAUGUUUGGUAAAAGAAAAAGAAAAAUUCAAAGCUAAAAAAUUCAAAGUUUGAAAAACUAAAAUUUUUGAGCUGUAUGGCUUGAAGUUUAUGACCACCUUUUUGACUUUUGAGGCAAAGUUUUGCCUAUAAAUACAAGCUCUCAAUUUAGAGCUUGUAUCCAAUUUUGUAAAGAGAGUCAAGAGUUGUGAGAAACAAUUCCUGCAGAGAGUUUUUGUAGAGCUUAAAUAAUAAAAGCUCUUGUUUAGUGAUUUGAGAGUUUGGGUGUAUUGGAGUUUUGGGUAGUGAGCUAAAAUACUACAAUACUUGUAACUCCUUUUCACUAGUAAAAUAUUUUUCUUCUGUCUUCGUCCGUGGAUGUAGGCUAAAAGCCGAACCACGUAAUUUCUAGUGUCCACUUUUUGUGCUUGUUCUUUUUUUUUCUUACAAUUUCAUUUUAGCUGCGUGUCUGCUUCACCCAUCAAUUUCCUAACAUCAAAGACACAGUACAAGAUCAAUAGAUGCAGAGAAAAUGUAACGCUAAUGAACAAGUCGAAAAUCUAAGGAUUUGAACAAGAAAUGUAAGAGUUCAAGUCACACCAAUCGGGCUAGCUAAUCAGCCCUUUUCUAGGUUUGUUAUAAAGACAACAAACUUAAUUAUUAUUAACAAUAAUUAAUAAUAACUAAAAUAAUAAAGUUAAUAAAAUUUAAUAAUAAUAAUAAUAAUAACAACAAUAAGGAUAAUAUUAUUAAUAAUGAUAAAUUAAUUAUUUUUAUUGUUAAUAAUGAUAAUAUUAAUAAAAAUAAUAAUAAUAGUAAUAAUUAAUAAGAACUAAAAUAAUAAAGUUAAUAAAAUUUAAUUAUUAUUAUUAAUGACAUUUAAAAUAAUAAAAUUAUUUGUGAUUUGAAUAAGGGUAAUUUAGAAAAUAUGAAAAAAUUAUAAGUAUAGAAAAGUAAAUUUAUGUUUCAUUCUCAUUCCCACAUUUUCAUUCUCAACCCACCUCCAUGGGAAUGAGAUUCUCAUUCCUUAUUCCCAAAUUGUGUGGGACCCACACAUUUUAUUCAUAUUCCCAAAUUAUAUUUUGCCAAGUAAACAUGUGUUUCAUUCUCACUCCUUCAUUCUCAUUCCCCAAACCCACAAGUAAACACACCAUAAGUUCUUUUACUAGGUGCUAUUUUCAUAUGGACCUAACAACUUCAGUUAUUUUGCAAAUAGAUUCAAAAAGGUUUGCAUGUUACCCCUUUCAACAAUUUAUAUAUUAUUUGAGAGGAAAUUACCCCUUGAGCAAAAUUUUGGAACUUGUUUUUUAAGUUCUGUUUGGAGAUAAAUACCAAAACUUAAGUGUAAAGAUUCAUAAAAGAUAGAGAAAUAAAAAAUUUUAAUAAUUGGGAUAUUAUUGAAUAUAGUAUGAAUAACAAAAUUAAGGUUUUAUGACCUCUUUUAUAGUAUCCAUAAAUAAUGUGAAUUUACCAAAAUAGGUAAAACACAAAUUAUUAUUACAUAUACAAUUCUACCAAUUGAAAUAAGGAAAACAAAGCAAACAACACCCAAAUCAAUAUCUAGAAAAAAAAAAGGAAUAAAAAUCCUGAAAGCAAAAAAAAAAGGAAAAUAACUAAAACUUGCAAAAUAACCAUGGACGAAAUAAAACUUCCAACAAAACUAUUGGGCCAUAUCCAAAAAAACAGUAUUGUGUUAAUUUUUUCUCGACAACAACUUCAAAAAAAUAUAUUAUACCCCCAAAUGGACACAUGUAAUUUAAGUUGAACCCAAAAAAAUUCCAUGCUUAUCCUAUGUAACCAUCCUAUAUCAAUAAAAUUAUAUAUAUAUAUAUAUAUAUAUAUAUAUAUAUAUAUAUAUAUAUAUAUUAACAGUUUUAUUGCUAAAAACCAACUCCAACCGACUUUUAAAAAUGUUAAAAUUUAUCUUCAGCAAUAAUAUCAAAAACUUGUUUUAAAGCAAGUAUUUUUUCUAACAAAAGUUAAUUUGAGUCUAAGCUUCAUCUAAUAAAUAUAAAAUAACGUCUUCAAUAAACAAUUCCAGAUAAUGGUUUUGGCAGUUUCUAUGAUGAUGAUGAUGAUAAGCCCCAUGAGGAUUGUGGUAUUGUGGCAUAUGUAACUGUUCUUAGCAUUUCGUAAGCUCCACAAGGCUCCUUUGAUAGGGAAGAUGGAUAUUGGGCUAAUUAUAACAUAAGCUUUUAGCAACCCUCGAAUCUUAGAAGUAGAUUUUAAGUAUGAGUUGGUUUUAUAAACCUCUAUAUCGUAUCAAAGUCAAACUCAUACAUAAGUAGGUGUAUAUUACCUUACCUCGUGAUAAGAAUUAAAUAAAAAAACCAACCAGCUAGCACACGACAGAAGGUGAUAGGAAAAUUAUCUCACAUCAACUAAGAUAGUUAGUAGGUUGAUAAUAUAAGUUUGAGACAACUUAUUAUAUUGUUGUUUGAACUCAACUCAUGGAUGAUAUUAAUUCGUGGUUUUUUGUGCCACUUAUGUCUUUGUGUUUAAAUCUAGACCUUAUCAUUCAAUAUUCACUGUGACCAGCUUAGUUUUAUCAUGUAUCUAUUUUGUACAAUUAUUUUGCAACUCAAAUGUUGUAUUAAACAAUAUCAAUUAUAAUAAAGUUUCAUCCGGAAAGCAUUCUUACCAGUGAAGGCAAGACAUUAAUUGUUCGUAAUUUUAUCAAAAUGAAACAGAGAAAAAAAGCGGCUGAUUCUCGGAAUUACACGGGCAAGCUUAUUUUAAGCCCGUCUAAAUUAAAAUAAUUUUUCAAUAAACAUUAUUAUUAAAUAUAAUGUUCAAUUUAGCACGUGGUCCUGGUUUUGCGUUUGCAUGGAAAGAUCUCAAGUGUAUAUAUGUCGUCGUCGUCGUCGUUGUUGUUAUUAUUAUGAUUGUUAUUAUUAUUAUUAUGUUUUUGUUGCAUUAUUGUGAAAAAAUCAAGGGACUAUCGAGAAAAAGAGAUGAUGGGAUCUUUUCUUUCAACACCCCUUCUGUAUGCAACAAACAAUUAAUCAGAAAUUCCCUUUUCUUUUAUUUUCCGUUUAGUUUUUCUUUAAUUAUCAGAAAUAUUAACUUAAGUUAAUGGUUCAUUAAUUAAUUGCAAUUUUUUUCCCCCUUCACAGAAUGGUUUUUGGUUAUGCUUACCCUGCAUAUGAGUGCUUUAAAGCAGCAGAGAAGAACAAGCCAGAUACUGAACAGCUCCUGUUUUGGUGCCAAUAUUGGUAUGGAACUAUGGAUCAGUGCUUACACUAUUAACUAAUUAAGAAUUAUUUUGCAACAAUCCUAAUUAAUCCCUUACAUAUAACGAGUCAUAUUCAUGUCUGGAUGCUUGGAUUUAAUAAAUUCAAAUUAUUAGAAUCAGAGUUAUACAGCACCUGAUUCUAAUUCUUGAUUUUGUAAAAUCACGACGUCCGAACCUAGGCAUCCUUUUGCUUGUAAUAACAAAGAAUUGCAUUCGCCACUUCGGCCUUGGCCGAAGUGGUGGGCUGCUGCCCUCACAAGCAUUGUGAGGGCAGCGGUUCUAACCCCCACAAAAGCAUUGUGGGGGCUAAAUGUUCUUUAUAUUUAAAAAUCAUUCUCCCUUGCGAAAUGCAAGUGGAGUAUGGACAUCCCUCUCCUGUGAGGGGUUAUUUAUCUGGGCAUGUACUUCAUAGAAUUCAUUGUAAUAAUGUAAGUCCCAAUCAUGUAAUGUAAGUCCCAAUCAUGUAUAUCUGAUUGUAAAUAUCAGUGUAAUAUCUCUGCUACAAUAAGCAGUUGUUGUAAAUAUCUGUGUAAUGCAGUAAUCUGAUGAUUAAUCAGUAUUCAAUAAAAAAACAAAGAAUUGCAUUCGUUGUGUUGUAAUUAUAGGGUUUUGGUCGCUGUGUUCACAGUUGGUGAGAGGGUGGGCGAUACCUUUAUUUCAUGGUAUGUGUAUUUUUAUGAAUAACAAUACUAUUUUUUUUUUUUUUGAAUUACAUGAGACUAAUGCUUAGAUUACAACUCAUAUUAUAUGAAAUUUACAACUAAUAUUUACAAUCAAACAAUUACUGGGCCUAAUUUAUAUUAAUUCUUAUAUAGCACUGCCCAAAUUUUUACCCUCUCUAAUAUUCGAGGGGUGUCUACUCCACUCACAUUUCGAAAGGGAGUAGAUUGCCUUCACUUAAUAAUUAAGAAAGGAAAUAAACCCCUACAUGCGUUGCGGGGGCUCAGACAAUUAUUAGUACAACGUCACGUGACAGUAUUGCGUAUUAACUUGAAGGUUACCGAUGUACAGUGAAGCUAAGUUGGCAUUCUUCAUAUAUCUUUGAUAUCCCAAAACAAAAGUAAUAAAUCUGCAUUAAUUCAUCAUCUUUUUCAGUACUCUGUAAAAUUUCUGAUUGAAAUUAUUUAAAAAGUUUCAGCUUUUAAUAUCUUCAGGGGACAGAUUAUGUUUAUAAUGUUUCAUUGCGGCCUUAUGUUGCAAAACAUGAGAAAGAAAUUGAUCUUAAUUUGUUAAAGCUGAGAAUUAAGGCAAGGGACAUAAGUCUUCUGUUUUGGGAGUAGGCUGCCAUUUAAGCAAAUGGACGUUGUUCAGGACUGCAGCAGCAAGCCAAUAAUAAAGCCCUUGUAUUUGUCUUGUGCCAUUAUGCAGAUGAUUUAUAUAUGUAGAAGAUGCAAAUUUAACACCAAAUAAUAGUUAAUUAGUCUCCAUUGGUUGCUUGCUACCAAUUUUGUAUCAUAUCAAUCUCAUGGGACUAUUGAUUAACAAAAUAUAUAGUGCGUGGUAGUGAAAGGGGACUUUCAGUUAGAAGAAAAUUGUAACAUGCAAUAGUCAAUAACACGUUUAAAUUGCAGCAUGUACUAGCUUACCUAAAUUGUCUAUUCAUUUUUAUCCACGUGUAGAGAAUUAACUAAUCAACAAAUUAAUCUGUGACACGUUUUUGUAAUUGCAUGCCGAUAAUUUUUUAUAAGGUAAUUUAAUGCGCGAUGCAACCAUUUUAGGCACGAGGUUUGGAAGUACUUCUAAUUGUUAUUAAAUAUGAAUUAGGAUCCCACUUUAUAUUGUUAUCUACUAAACUACUAAUCACUCAUAUGAAGAAGCGGCUCAAAUCUAAAGAAAAUCAUAAUCUAUUAAAUAAAUGACGAGUUAUCUUAAAGUUCAAUUUAAUUGAUUUUACCAUCUAUAGUGGAAACAACCAGUCAAGUGCUCAAUUUUUAAAGGAUUAAAUUAUUUAUACUGUAAAAAUUAUUCUGAACAUUUAUUAUUUCAUACAACCAUUCACUUAAUUUUAAAAAUUAAGAUUUUAUUUUUUUUGCUUUUUUAAUUUGAAUAUAUCUUAAUUAAAUGAAAGUCUAAAUAGCUCUGAAUGUAUAUGCUUGAGGACAUGUUUGCUUUUUUAUGACUAAAUAUAAGUGUUAAAUUAUUUGUCUUAUAAGCCAAAAAAAAAAUGAAUUAUGAUAUUUUGACAUUUAUGUCCCUUUAAGUAUUAAUAUAUAUUUGAUAAGUUAAAGAUGGUAAGUAAAUUAAAAUCAUUUUAUUAUUAAUUAUAAAAUAUCUAUUUUUUUUCAACAUAUACAAUGUUACAGCUAAAAAAGGUACAAUGUUAAUUACAUUAUUUGUGUGUAUGAUAUGAUUUUUUUUUCGUUUAAUCACACAAGUUGACAUAGAAUCAAUUAACAAUUUCAAGUAAAAUAGCAUUUUACAUAUAUUAUUAAUUGUAAAAGUUAAAAUAAUUAACGAAUAAAAACAACAGCUACAUCCUACCUCAUUAAUUUUUGUUAAAAGUUUUGUUCAAAAUGAUUGUUAUAAAAAAAGAGCUUGACAUGAGUACCCGACGUAACAGCAAUUGAAAAGUGUAAAAUAAAAAUUAGUUAUGUUUGAUUGGAAAUAAGCGUAUUAAUAGGGGUAUUUUUGAGAUAUUAUAGUGAUUUUCGUUCAAACUUUUUUUAAUUCAGAUAAAAGUUAAGUUAUUUAAUUUUUUCUAUUUAUUUAAUUUUUUCUAUUAAGUGGUAUAUUCUAGAAUUUAGAUAAAAUAUGAAAAACAAACUAGUAAACUUAAAAAAUGUCUGACUUCAUACAUUUAAAAAACAAGUUUUAAGUUUUACUUUAUACACUUUUUAAAAUAUCUAAAAAAAUCCUUACAAUUAAAUCAUUUUUGUUAAUUUGUAAAUAAAUUCUUUUUAACACAAUUUGAAUAUCUUGGAAUCGUAUCUUUUCUACCUUCUGAUAUUAUUGUGUUAAACAAAUCAAAUGGCUUCUGCUAUGGAUGUUUUUCCCGCGCAUUUGGUUUAUUUUCCUUUAAAUUGUUGCAUCUUGCAACUCUUCAGCAACAAAGUUUACUCAUCUCGUUUUCAUUCGCUUGAAUCAAGAGACAAUUGUGUAAAAUUGUAAGAUUAAGUAAAUAAAUAAACUCGAACACAAGUUUAGUUAUUAUUAUGAACCAGAAGUUUUAAGUAUGAUAAUUAUAAAUCAUUAUUACAUUAGUUAUAAUAGAUUAUUCAUUUGUUGGUAACAUUAAUUCAUGUGAUGAGAAUUUUUGAAAUAAAUUAUUUUAUUUAAAUAAAAGUAUUCGAAGUAAUUUUUAAAAUAUAAAUACCUUAUUUAUUUAAAAAAAAUACUAUAUUUAGGCAUGUGAAGGCUACAUUCAAUUGGAUUGACACUCAACCCUCCCAAUAACAAAAAAUGCAGGUAUAGAAAAAACUCAACUGAGGACAUGUUAAAAAUAUGCUUUUUUUUUUUAGUACAAUGGAACUCUUAACAAGAGAUAAAGACGGAUAAAGUAGGAAUAAACAACUUCAUACAUAUCAUGUGUGAGAAAAGAGAGCAAAUUAGUAUGGGGUCAUUAAAAAUUUAAAAUGGUGACAUUCAGAUGAUAGAGACUGGGCAUAAUUAGCUAAGAAAUCUAUAAUAAAAUUUGCUUCACGAUACACAUAAUUUAUGGUGAUGUUCCAGUCUCGUUUCAUUAACAUAAGUUCAGGAACAAAAAAGGAUGCUAUUUUUUAACAUAAGCUCAGGAAUAAAAAAUUAACAACCACAUUUAAGAUUUAAAACACAAGUUGCCUUAAAUUAACUCGAUUACAUGUGUCUAUUUGAAAUUAUUAAAAAUAAAUUCUAUUUUUCCCGCUAUCCCUAUCACUUUGCCAACGUGUUAUUCUCACAUUGGCCUGAUUUGCAGCCUCGAAUUGACCACAGCAGAUUAAAAAGAGCAUGUACUGAAAUCGACAAAAUCAAAAUUCGGGUGCGUACCAGGCAAUACAGACCAGCCACAAACUUUUAUUGGAUGAUUCCCACGUAACGAAGAGUCAACGGUCAAUACGAGCUGGGAACUGACUGAGCCUGCGCUGUAAAGUCCACGCGGCAUGCAGAUACGGGCCGACCAAAAGUGAAAAGCAGACUUAAUCACCCCGGCCUCUGCUGGUCUCAUCUCUUCUCGUCUCAUCCUCUAUUCGGACCUGUCUAUGUUACAGAUUCUGUAACAAACAUCUCCCGUCAUCCCACCAUCCGAUUUUCUUUUGUUUAGUUUCUCACUCCACAUCCAACCACAUCCAACGGCUGAUGCUGCAGUCUGUACCUUACAGAUUCUGUAACGUAGUUUUGUCCCCUCUUAUGAUCUAAACCUCUUUUACAGGAGGCCCUCAAACCGUCCCACGUGUCCUGACCACACAUAGAUUUGUGUGGUCACCAACCUCUGUCCUUAUCUCUCUCUAUUUCUAAGGACGUGUUUGGCCUCAUUUUUCAAAGUGCUUGUCACAAUGAAACAAAGAAAAUAAAAUAUGUUAAUGGAUCAAUAACAUGUUGUGCUUAUUUAAUUUAAAUAUUUAAUUGAGAUAUUUAUUGAUGUAUCAAAAAUUAUUUAAGGGUAUUAAUUAAUUUUAUUAUUAAUUAUUAGCCUAUCACCACUCUCUAGAUUACACAUAAAAUAGCACAUCAAUUAAUAUCUUAAUUAAACAUCUAAAGUGAAUAAACAUAGUAAUUAAUCUAUCAUAAUUCAAUUAAACAAUUUAAUAAAAAUAUUCUCAUAAAACUCACAUCAGCUGCUGUUAAAAUUAAAAAAUUUUGUCAAAAUUUUUGAAAAAUUAUAUUUUGCGAAUGACAAGCUAAAUAGAUUACAUUAAGAAAGAUAAAAAUUUAAGACAAGUGAGAGUUGUUCUUUAUGAUUUAUGCAAGUCAACAUUUAUCCGUUUAUACAUUGAUUUUGUUUGAAUAUAAACUCAAUUAAGACAGGUUCAAUGCACUAUUUUCUCGUGCUUAAGACAUGUUCAAUGAAUAUAAAAGUAAAUUUAAUAUUUAAGGUUUUAUUUUAAAUUUCUUUUUAUAUGGGUGAUGUAUCUUUUCACGUACAUGUAUAAGUAAAUAUAUUUCGAGUUUAGGGUAAAGAUCUCACUUUUAUUAUAUUGUAUAACACGUAUAAAGAUGCUACAAGUAAAUAUAGUAUAUCAUAAAUUAAAAGAAAGAGUGAUGUUAUGUUUAUUUAGUUAUGAUAUAUAAUUUUUAUCUUAACUUAUGUAUUGAUAAUUAAAAUUUAUUAUUUGAGUUAAAAAUAACAAGACUCGGUAAUUAUUUAUCACUUAAAUUAAUUAUACAGUGAUACAUUAUUUAUUAUAUUAGUUAAAAUAUAUAUUAACUUUCCUUAAAUAAGUGUAAAAGAAAGAGAGAGUGAUGCACGUUGAAAAUAAUACUAAAUUAAAUGAAACCAAACCAAACAGGCCCCACACUUUAGUUUCUAAAAAUAUACAUUAUCUAACGACUACGGCUCUCCCUUUUUUAUCAUAUAAAUGUGAGCCAAAAGAGUUAAUUAGACGCAGGGGAAGAAGAAGGCAAAUGGAGGGACUCGCCCAAUACCAAAGGCAACUCUUGUGAUUCACGAGACUCUCAACAAAACAAAAGGCAAAGGCAAAAAGCAAAUCCACAAACCUAAAACCCCAGCUUCACGAGAAUCAUCACAAGAAGAUUAAUGGAGACAGCUGAAAGUACAAGCUCGAUGAAGCAGCAGCACCACCAACAGCAAGUGCUGGACGGUUCAAAUAUAAUGAAGUUGGUUGGAAAUGAGGAG
RNAcentral lists this long non-coding RNA (34395 nucleotides) under Citrus x clementina. RNAcentral's name for it is "Citrus clementina (C. clementina) long non-coding RNA (CCLE_LNC000856)". Lineage: Eukaryota; Viridiplantae; Streptophyta; Magnoliopsida; Sapindales; Rutaceae. The record is from RNAcentral.